Labrus mixtus (cuckoo wrasse) is the source of this 1573-nucleotide long non-coding RNA. RefSeq lists it as uncharacterized. The transcript has 2 exons. Lineage: Eukaryota; Metazoa; Chordata; Actinopteri; Labriformes; Labridae. The record is from RefSeq and is a predicted model, not a curated record.
UGUCAGAGCAGGAUAUGUCUUCUCAUAUAACUGAGAUUUCUCUAUAAACUGAUACAUUAAUGCAUGAGUCUAUUUACAGGGUGAGAUAAAUCCUCAUUAGAGCAGGAGGUGAUCUAAGAGAACAGACAGGGAAACUCUUCAUUGACAAACACACCUAAACACAGACUCACUGAAUGGAUGGCAAUGUUGUUGUCUUCAGAAGGAUACAGGAUAUCUGAGAAGGAUUCAGAGGCGAUUCCAAAAGAGCAGCACCUGUACACCUCAGACUGCUAAUGGUGUCUCCCUGCACGUCGUCAUGAUGCAUUCAAGUGAAGUCAGCAUUUUAAGUGUCACACAGCUGUUAUUCUGUUAACAUCAACAAUUCCUAGAAACCAAAUAUUGGGUAAUUAAUUGUUUUUAAUCACUGAUUGCAAGUAAACUCCUGCACACAUUGCACAAUAACAUUUUCAGCAUUUCCUUAUAAGUACAGAAACAUUGACAAUGUGCAAUUUAGACUGAGUGAAGGAGUUUAUUUGCAAUUUUUGAUGACUCAUUCCUCUCUUGCUCACUUGUCUGUUAACACAGAGAUGUGUGAAGUAAUUGAUUUAAGGAUAAAGCCAGUCUCCUAAAAGAAAGCUCAACAGUUAGUUUGAAUGUUAGACCAAUGGACAGGUGUUACAUACAUUGAUAUAAAGUAGACGAUAUGAUUGACAAGGUUAAUAGACUGUUUGAUUGACAGGUGAUAUAUAGACUCUUUUUGAUUGGCAGUAUUGGACUGUAUAUUAGACUGUGAUCAGAGAAUAGAAGGCGUUUGUGAUUAGAAAUGGAACACAGCCCUCGUUGCUUUAUUUGACACGCUGACUCUGCCUUGGGCGUGUUUAAUAGUCUAGUUUUUGUUUGUGUGUUUGGAACAAAGAUUGUUAUUGUGGUGUGUGUGUGUGUGUGUGUGUGUGUGUGUGUGUGUGUGUGUGUGUGUGUGUGUAUGUGUGUGUGUGUCUGUAUGUCCCCCUCCAUUUUUUUAUAUAAAAAACAAGCUGUUUCCAAAGAGGUCGUUCUUGUUUGACGUUGUGGUCUGAUGUUGGUCUGUUCAUCUUUUCCUCCUCACUGCUCACUCUGCGUCCACACUGACACUCUGCAGGAGUCCAUCAGCUCUCAGUCAUUGGGGGAUAGGAGCUGAACAUGAUUUAAAUGUCAAAAAGAUGCAGAUAUUACAUUGUUUAAUUCAUUUUAUUAAAUUUAAAUUGCAAUUAGGUUUUUUAAGGCUAUAAACACAGAUAGAGUUAUUCAGACCUGUCACAAUACCAGAUUUUGUUUUUAACUUUGAUAUGAUUUUAAGAAAAUCAAACAAUUUCAAUACCUACUUGAUACCAACAAAAACAAAACAAAAAUAGAUGUCAUAGACACCCAAUAUGAGGUAAUUUAUUGAUUUAAUAAAAAAAAAAAUUCAGACAAACUCCUGUAUGCUGAAUAAACUGCAUAUGGAAAUAAAUACAAAAUAACAAUAUAUAAUUGUAUAAGAUAAUUGUACACAUUUUCCAUGAAUUCAUUCCUCACCUACAAACCUGUCUUAUAACAUAGUUGUAGUUUUUUUUUU